AACAGGUCGCUAGAGAAAAAAUAUUUGUUCAAAAUUGAGCAACAUUCAGUGAUUAAAUUUCUCACUAAAGAAGGAAAUACGCCUUCGCAGAUAAAUAACGUAUGUUGCCCGUGUUUGGUGAUUCGUGUCCUUCCGAUUUCACAAUUAAGUUCUGGUCUAAGCAAUUUAAAUCGGGCCGCGAAAGCCUAGAAGACGAUCCUCGUAGUGGACGACCAAUUUCUGCCAUCACUGAAGGUAAUGUGACCAAAGUGAAAAAUGUAAUUCUUGAAGACCGACGAGUGAAACAGUGGGAGAUAGCUAGAGAUGUGGGCAUUAGUAAGGAACGGGUAAAUGAAAUAAUUCAUGGCUAUUUGAACAUGUCUAAGGUUAGUGCCCGUUGGGUCCCCAAAAUGCUGA
Molecule: long non-coding RNA, 396 nt
Organism: Cydia splendana
Lineage: Eukaryota; Metazoa; Arthropoda; Insecta; Lepidoptera; Tortricidae
Exons: 2
Source: RefSeq, a predicted model, not a curated record